GGAAAGGCUGUAGCUCAGUAGUAGAGCCUCUGCUUUGCAUGCAAAAGGUUCCAGAUUCAAUCCCCGCCAUUUCCA
Non-coding RNA from Podarcis lilfordi (Lilford's wall lizard), 75 nucleotides. NCBI's taxonomy places the organism in Eukaryota, Metazoa, Chordata, Lepidosauria, Squamata, Lacertidae. The record is from the annotation of a GenBank genome assembly.